RNAcentral lists this ribosomal RNA (497 nucleotides) under uncultured bacterium. RNAcentral's name for it is "partial 16S ribosomal RNA". It matches the Rfam family "Bacterial small subunit ribosomal RNA", at positions 28 to 507 of the family's 1533-position model. The record is from RNAcentral.
GAUGAACGCUGGCGGCGUGCCUAAUACAUGCAAGUCGAGCGAACAGACGAGGAGCUUGCUCCUCUGACGUUAGCGGCGGACGGGUGAGUAACACGUGGAUAACCUACCUAUAAGACUGGGAUAACUUCGGGAAACCGGAGCUAAUACCGGAUAGUAUAUUGAACCGCAUGGUUCAAUAGUGAAAGACGGUUUUGCUGUCACUUAUAGAUGGAUCCGCGCCGCAUUAGCUAGUUGGUAAGGUAACGGCUUAUCAAGGCGACGAUGCGUAGCCGACCUGAGAGGGUGAUCGGCCACACUGGAACUGAGACACGGUCCAGACUCCUACGGGAGGCAGCAGUAGGGAAUCUUCCGCAAUGGGCGAAAGCCUGACGGAGCAACGCCGCGUGAGUGAUGAAGGUCUUCGGAUCGUAAAACUCUGUUAUUAGGGAAGAACAAAUGUGUAAGUAACUAUGCACGUCUUGACGGUACCUAAUCAGAAAGCCACGGCUAACUACGUG